RNAcentral lists this transfer RNA (72 nucleotides) under Saprospiraceae bacterium. RNAcentral's name for it is "tRNA-Glu". It matches the Rfam family "tRNA". Rfam says of the family: Transfer RNA (tRNA) molecules are approximately 80 nucleotides in length. Their secondary structure includes four short double-helical elements and three loops (D, anti-codon, and T loops). Further hydrogen bonds mediate the characteristic L-shaped molecular structure. tRNAs have two regions of fundamental functional importance: the anti-codon, which is responsible for specific mRNA codon recognition, and the 3' end, to which the tRNAs corresponding amino acid is attached (by aminoacyl-tRNA synthetases). tRNAs cope with the degeneracy of the genetic code in two manners: having more than one tRNA (with a specific anti-codon) for a particular amino acid; and 'wobble' base-pairing, i.e. permitting non-standard base-pairing at the 3rd anti-codon position. The record is from RNAcentral. Lineage: Bacteria; Pseudomonadati; Bacteroidota; Saprospiria; Saprospirales; Saprospiraceae.
GGCCCCUUCGUUUAUCGGUUAGGACGCCAGGUUUUCAUCCUGGUAGGAGGGGUUCGAUUCCCCUACGGGCUA